Molecule: ribosomal RNA, 466 nt
Filed under: uncultured bacterium
Lineage: Bacteria
Description: bacterial SSU rRNA
Rfam family: Bacterial small subunit ribosomal RNA
Source: RNAcentral
UCGGUAUGUAAAGCUCUAUCAGCAGGGAAGAAAAUGACGGUACCUGACUAAGAAGCACCGGCUAAAUACGUGCCAGCAGCCGCGGUAAUACGUAUGGUGCAAGCGUUAUCCGGAUUUACUGGGUGUAAAGGGAGCGUAGACGGCUGUGUAAGUCUGAAGUGAAAGCCCGGGGCUCAACCCCGGGACUGCUUUGGAAACUAUGCAGCUAGAGUGUCGGAGAGGUAAGUGGAAUUCCCAGUGUAGCGGUGAAAUGCGUAGAUAUUGGGAGGAACACCAGUGGCGAAGGCGGCUUACUGGACGAUGACUGACGUUGAGGCUCGAAAGCGUGGGGAGCAAACAGGAUUAGAUACCCUGGUAGUCCACGCCGUAAACGAUGACUACUAGGUGUCGGGGAGCAAAGCUCUUCGGUGCCGCAGCAAACGCAAUAAGUAGUCCACCUGGGGAGUACGUUCGCAAGAAUGCAAAU